AGCCAACAAGUCACCUGUGAGAGCCAUGUGUCUAAACAUAGACAUGUGGGUAUGACUUUAAAUUCUUCUCUGCACGGAAACCUGUUGACACCUCCUUUUCAAGCUCUUUGUGUGGUCCCAUCUGUUUACAAUUCACUAAUACUUCGGCUCAGGAAUUUCGGGGUUAACUGAAAAUCAGAUUUUCAGCAGAGGCAGAUCUCAGGGAAGCACGGAAUCUGGUGAGAUGACAAUUGUAGUUCUCUGGGGAAGUAAACUCAUAGGAUCACAAGCCCCUAUCCCAGCGUCUAUGCGCUCAAUGGCUGUUGUGAACAUAAACCUGAGCCCAUUGUCCCAGCAGCAGAAAGAAAUCAGGGAUCAUCAAACCCAAGAGAGUCUAGAUUUUCUCCCGUUACUUUCCAGAAGUUUUGCAGUUGUCUAUUUGACAUUUACGUCGUAUGUGUAUAUGACUGUCAGAAAUGAGUAAGGCGAAACAGGAUAAGCUAAGAACACUGCUUCUGAAGUCUGCUGGUGUGGGAGGAAUGGGGCCACCGAGAGCAGCG
This 539-nucleotide long non-coding RNA is filed under the name Homo sapiens (human). RNAcentral's name for it is "HSALNT0162136". The record is from RNAcentral. Lineage: Eukaryota; Metazoa; Chordata; Mammalia; Primates; Hominidae.